Molecule: ribosomal RNA, 459 nt
Filed under: uncultured bacterium
Lineage: Bacteria
Description: partial 16S ribosomal RNA
Rfam family: Bacterial small subunit ribosomal RNA
Source: RNAcentral
CCUACGGGUGGCAGCAGUGAGGAAUAUUGGUCAAUGGCCGGAAGGCUGAACCAGCCAAGCCGCGUGAAGGACGAAGGUGCCAAGCAUUGUAAACUUCUUUUGUCAAGGAACAAAAUCAGGCUCGAGAGCCUGACCGAGGGUACUUGAAGAAAAAGCAUCGGCUAACUCCGUGCCAGCAGCCGCGGUAAUACGGAGGAUGCGAGCGUUAUCCGGAUUUAUUGGGUUUAAAGGGUGCGUAGGCGGACUGUUAAGUCAGCGGUAAAAGCCCGGGGCUCAACCCCGGCGAGCCGUUGAAACUGGCUGUCUAGAGAUGGCGAGAGGUAUGCGGAAUGCGCGGUGUAGCGGUGAAAUGCUUAGAUAGUGCGCAGAACUCCGAUUGCGAAGGCAGCAUACCGGCGCCAAUCUGACGCUGAGGCACGAAAGCGUGGGUAUCGAACAGGAUUAGAUACCCUUGUAGUC